This is a small RNA of Brucella melitensis, 83 nucleotides long. It matches the Rfam family "Brucella melitensis small RNA 0117". NCBI's taxonomy places the organism in Bacteria, Pseudomonadati, Pseudomonadota, Alphaproteobacteria, Hyphomicrobiales, Brucellaceae. The record is from Rfam.
UGGUGGCUUGAUGAUCGCCUAUAUUCUCGCUGUCGCUUGCAUUACCAGCAUUGCGGUGGGUGGGCUUGUGGCAAUCGCCAAUU